CUGAUGAUCUGGAAGUAACAUAGCUAUGCAACAACAACCGUAUGAACUUCUGUCACCUGGGUGGUGAACAAUUAGACAGCAGCCAUCUCUCAAUUCAAAUGACUCCCAGGCAAAUCAUGAAAUUGACACCACAUAAUUCUGGGGUCCAGCAAAAGGCAAGCUUGUUGCCUACUGGAGCAAUUUGCAUGUCGAAGUCAUGCCCAACCUUGAAUGUAGAGCUCUGAAGUAGCAUAAAUUGAUGAGCUUCACUUAUGGUGUAAUUUCCCUUCUAUGCCAAAACUCAUAAACGAUAUGAGACAUUUACAUAGGCAGCUCAUUGACUUAGAAAGGAGCCUCAAGUGAUUCAUCCCAAACAUCUGCACUUCCAUUUGAGACAUCCUCUACAUCUUCUUCCAUUGAAAGCCUGAUGUACUCCCUAUGUGCAAAGCGAUCCCACUC
Molecule: unclassified non-coding RNA, 438 nt
Filed under: Hevea brasiliensis (rubber tree)
Lineage: Eukaryota; Viridiplantae; Streptophyta; Magnoliopsida; Malpighiales; Euphorbiaceae
Source: RNAcentral